AACUAGGCCUGGGACCUGAUGAGAUGAAUCCAAGGAUAUUGAGGCAACUGGCAGAUGAAGUUGCUAAGACACUGUUCAUGAUAUAGGAGAACUUGUGGCAGUCCAGUGAAGGUCCCACUGAAUGGAAAAGGAGAAAUAUAACCCCCCAUUUU
Oxyura jamaicensis (ruddy duck) is the source of this 152-nucleotide long non-coding RNA. RefSeq lists it as uncharacterized. The transcript has 3 exons. The record is from RefSeq and is a predicted model, not a curated record. NCBI's taxonomy places the organism in Eukaryota, Metazoa, Chordata, Aves, Anseriformes, Anatidae.